Molecule: ribosomal RNA, 253 nt
Filed under: uncultured bacterium
Lineage: Bacteria
Description: partial 16S ribosomal RNA
Rfam family: Bacterial small subunit ribosomal RNA
Source: RNAcentral
UACGAAGGGGGCUAGCGUUGCUCGGAAUCACUGGGCGUAAAGGGUGCGUAGGCGGGUCUUUAAGUCAGGGGUGAAAUCCUGGAGCUCAACUCCAGAACUGCCUUUGAUACUGAAGAUCUUGAGUCCGGGAGAGGUGAGUGGAACUGCGAGUGUAGAGGUGAAAUUCGUAGAUAUUCGGAAGAACACCAGUGGCGAAGGCGGCUCACUGGUCCGGUACUGACGCUGAGGUGCGAAAGCGGGGGGAGCAAACAGG